This 614-nucleotide long non-coding RNA is filed under the name Cyanistes caeruleus (blue tit). RNAcentral describes it as "lncRNA (ENSCCEG00000021629.1)". Lineage: Eukaryota; Metazoa; Chordata; Aves; Passeriformes; Paridae. The record is from RNAcentral.
AUUUGGGUUUGUAAAUUGAUCUUUUGUCUGUGUUGAGUUGUCCUUGUGCAGGAUUGCUGGAUGAGUUCGGUGUUAGUGGCCAAACAGCGGGGUCAUUAAAGCAGUAGAGGGAAACAACAUCUGUUAAUACAGACUUUUUUCAUAAAGUAGUAGCUGUCCAAAAUAAACACGAUUAUUAAUGCAUAGGCCAAACGUAGAUGCGUGUAUUUAUUAUCUCUUUGUAGUCUCAAAUUACAGAAAGAGGAUACUCUAAAGGUCAGUGUAUUUCUUACAUUGCAGUGACAAGCGUUGCCUUACACCCUUUGUGUUACAUUCACAGAUCUUCAUGCAGAGAUUAAAGAUAAAGCUGACAGGACAACUUCUUUAGCCACCUGGCUUCCCUAGCAGACAGAAGGGCUGAGUGAUAGAGCUGUUUCUCUGAAGCUCUUGGUUUAAGGAUAAAUUGUUCAAACACUGGCACAUCAUUUAGCAGAAGAAGCAAAGCACUGCUGCAUUUUGGCUUUAUAUGCUGUAGCUGCUGUGCAAUAAUGGUGAAAAGAUGCUCGGAUUACAGUUAUAGGGACUCUAUCAUACGUGGUAAGUGAUUAAACUUUUUUCAUUCAAUUAAAGCUUUU